Long non-coding RNA from Lingula anatina, 873 nucleotides. NCBI's taxonomy places the organism in Eukaryota, Metazoa, Brachiopoda, Lingulata, Lingulida, Lingulidae. The record is from RefSeq and is a predicted model, not a curated record.
CAGAGUACUAGUAUAAAUACUCUUUCUGCCCAAUAGGGAAUUAUCUCCGCUAGCAGAAGUUUUAAUAAGUCAACUACUACGUACAGUACCAACAGUGUGGACAUCAAGAUGAGGUUUUGGCUUGUUGCAACAUUCCUCUUGUUGUUUGUUGUUCAAGAGUCUCUUGAACUUGACUGUAAAACUAAUGCAGAUUGUGUGCAUAGAAAUUACUGCUUCGGCUGCCCCAGCCAACAUGUGGAGCCCACUUGUCUGGUAACAACCCAAGGGCAGUGUCAUUGUGUCUACUGUAACCGAUAAAUCACAAUUUGGCCAGUUUCACUUUCAAGCAUAAAGCCUAGGUUACAUUUGCCAUGGGAUGUCCACAUGACGCUCCUAUACUGCCCGUAAAUCCAUUUUUCUAUGGUGUCUGAGCAGAGGCAGCCCUGCGAAAUUUGUAUGGUUUUUUUCUCCCACUUUUGGUUGUUUUAUGUGGCAUAACAAUAUUAAAGAAGUUUAGUUUAAAACUUAGUGUAAUUCACUUGCACGAAUUUGAAGUUGAGCAUUUUCUCAUUCUGACCACAUGGGUGCUAAAAAUUGUAGAGAUCUGCAUCAACAGCAUAUUUGGCCUCAAGGAAACCACAUGGAAGGUGUACAGCAACUGCAAUUAUCACGUAUAAAUUGUAUAUGAUUUUAUCUUAUGGCAGCUGUGGCAUAUGUAAUUUAGGUUUAACAGAUGAUUCAUAUUUCGUGACACUGCAAAUUUGAAAUAUCUGUAAAAAAAAAACCUGGAAGAAAGAAAUUAAAAAAUACCCAAAAAUGUAAUUAAUUUCAAUCAGUUUCUCUUCUUUUCCUGACUCAUUGUAUGCAUUUUAUAUAACUACAAACGCCAUGAUA